Molecule: ribosomal RNA, 440 nt
Filed under: uncultured bacterium
Lineage: Bacteria
Description: partial 16S ribosomal RNA
Rfam family: Bacterial small subunit ribosomal RNA
Source: RNAcentral
CCUACGGGUGGCAGCAGUGGGGAAUAUUGCACAAUGGGGGAAACCCUGAUGCAGCGACGCCGCGUGAGUGAAGAAGUAUUUCGGUAUGUAAAGCUCUAUCAGCAGGGAAGAAAAUGACGGUACCUGACUAAGAAGCCCCGGCUAACUACGUGCCAGCAGCCGCGGUAAUACGUAGGGGGCAAGCGUUAUCCGGAUUUACUGGGUGUAAAGGGAGCGUAGACGGCCAGACAAGUCAGAAGUGAAAGCCCAGGGCUCAACCCUGGGACUGCUUUUGAAACUGCCGGGCUUGAGUGCAGGAGAGGUAAGCGGAAUUCCUAGUGUAGCGGUGAAAUGCGUAGAUAUAUGGAAGAACACCAGUGGCGAAAGCGGCUUUCUGGUCUGUAACUGACGCUGAGGUUCGAAAGCGUGGGUAGCAAACAGGAUUAGAUACCCGGGUAGUC